CCAUAGGUUGGGUCGUGACAGCUCAGGAUAAGAGCAUUCCAGGUACAGUUAGAUGACACUCAUGAGACCAUUUACAACCACAUUUUUUGCCCUAAGGAAAUAAUUAGUCAACAUACUCCCCUGUAAUUAAGGUCCGAAUCUAUGCAUCUAAUAUCUGCAUGUACAACUAGGCACCUUAAAAAUGUACCUUUUGAAAUAGGUAAAGAAAGCUAACCAAUGAAUUAGUAUCAUAUGACUAUAUGAUGUAGAAAAUACUAGGGAUUUUAGGACUACUUAUUUUAGG
RNAcentral lists this unclassified non-coding RNA (283 nucleotides) under Hevea brasiliensis (rubber tree). Lineage: Eukaryota; Viridiplantae; Streptophyta; Magnoliopsida; Malpighiales; Euphorbiaceae. The record is from RNAcentral.